UCCCUGGUGGCUCAGAUGGUAAAGCGUCUGCCUACAAUACAGGAGACCGGGUUCAAUCCCUGGGUCGGGGAG
Bos taurus (domestic cattle) is the source of this 72-nucleotide non-coding RNA. The record is from Rfam. NCBI's taxonomy places the organism in Eukaryota, Metazoa, Chordata, Mammalia, Artiodactyla, Bovidae.